GAUGAAGAACGCAGCGAAAUGCGAUAAGUAAUGUGAAUUGCAGAAUUCAGUGAAUCAUCGAAUCUUUGAACGCACAUUGCGCCCCCUGGUAUUCCGGGGGGCAUGCCUGUUCGAGCGUCAUUUCACCACUCAAGCCUCGCUUGGUAUUGGGCAACGCGGUCCGCCGCGUGCCUCAAAUCGUCCGGCUGGGUCUUCUGUCCCCUAAGCGUUGUGGAAACUAUUCGCUAAAGGGUGUUCGGGAGGCUACGCCGUAAAACAACCCCAUUUCUAAGGUUGACCUCGGAUCAGGUAGGGAUACCCGCUGAACUUAAGCAUAUCAAUAAGCAGAGGA
This 331-nucleotide unclassified non-coding RNA is filed under the name soil metagenome. Its description in RNAcentral is "partial contains 5.8S ribosomal RNA, internal transcribed spacer 2, and large subunit ribosomal RNA". The stretch from base 1 to 120 matches the Rfam family "5.8S ribosomal RNA", at positions 35 to 154 of the family's 154-position model. The record is from RNAcentral.